GUCACCCAGGGUGAAGAAUUGUUAUUUCUCACCCCAGCCGAACCACACAUCAGGCACCGAAGAAAAAAGCGAGGUAAAUUUACCUCAUGUAGUGGUAGAUAUUACAGCAUUGAGACCCUGUGCGCAAAAGAAAAAAGCAAGGUAAAUUUACCUCUUCUCUCCCCUACCGAACUAAUCGGGAGAAAACCAACUCUACAGAUCGUGGGAGGGUUCUGCUAUUUCCCGCACCAUCUCAGCCAGUGCUACACGCAGCCAUGGCGAUUCCCCUUCUCUGUAGGCCAACAGAGCAGGCCGCUCCAUCCAAGCGGUCGCGAGCCAGCCGCGGUGGCUCUGGGGAAGAGGUCGUCCCACCGGCGGGAUGCAGUUGAAUUGAAGCGACGGCGCCAAGUUGGAUUGUGAUUUCUGCGGCGGAGCGGCGCUGGGCCACGGCGACGCGCUCCACGAGCUCGAGAAGUGUCUUAUAUCUCCUCUCCCAUCCUCGUAUCCUUGAUUGAUCCUCGCCUCCCUGAUUGAUGUAUGCCCAUUGAUCUGGGUCGUUUUUUCAUUGACUAGGUAUGAAUAUGAUUGACCUCGUUUGCAAGUUUGGUCCCUGGCUCACUGCACGCGCCCAUGAGCUCAAGCCCCGCCCCUUACCUCCCUCUAACUUGGCCGCCUCCACCCCCUGGUAAAACCCCUUCCUGUUUUUGAUAGACUGAAGCUUGUUUGUGUCGGCAGAAUUUGUGUGUUUUGAGUUUGGCAUCUAAAUGAGGGUGGUAAGUUGUGAUGGGGAAAUUACUUGUCAAGGAAUCACUUGUGCUUGUUGUAGUGAGAGCAGAACGAAAUGACCAUGUUUUAUGAAAUUAUACUUCUUAUGCUAAGGUUGUAGUAUUAGACCAAGUCUAUUCUUUUUUAAAUUAGUGACAAAUUAGUAGCUCGUUUUGUUGUGGAAGCACAAUUUAACAUUCAGUCAGUAUUUUUUUAUUGUUGUUUAGAAAUUUUGACAUCAUGUCUGAAGACUAAAUUGAUAUCGGUUCAUACGAAUGACCAUGUCGCUGCUAAUCUCAGGCCAUCCAGGCAAGACAUAGCUUCUAGUUUUUCGGCAUCAGUGCACGCUUGAAGCACUCUGCCUGCAGAAAGCAGAACCUUUCCGGUUAUCUUGUAAAACCAUCCCCACACUCGCAGCUCCGGUUUCCCUGAUGAUAGAGCCAUCCACAUUGAUUUUGACCCAGUUCAUUCCGGCGGCUUCCAGCCAGAUCAAUUAUGUACUCAUCCACCCGCCACUUUCUUUCUUCAGUAAUUAACUGGUAUAUUCUUACAUGUGUUAUUGCAGUGGGCAAGUGCAGAAAAUUUAUGGUCUAUUUGGCGUGACGAAGUUGAGGGGAAUGUGUUGCAAACCAUGAUGUUUUCCUAAAAUCCAAUUGAUUUGGAUACACUUGCGAAAUGCAGAAGUAGUUUCAUCACUGUCUUUUUAUAUUUGGUAUUUUCUGACAUGAACUAUUGCAUCUACUGAGGUGAUUUCGUUGGGAAGCUUGCCAGACUAUACUCUAGACUCUCUACCGCUAUGCAAUGGUAUUUUUGUCAGUCUACAAUCUAGUGCUUAGAAUUCUUUUGUUUGGAAAUAACAAACAUGGCAAGCUUUAUUUUUUUUCUGAAACUGUGUUCUGCAUGUUCAUCAUAUAUCGCAGGUUCAUUUAUGGAGUUCUUGAAAGAAAAAAGGUGGUAAUUGAACCAAGCAAUUCAGUAUGAACUAAUAGAGUGUAGGGGGUUCUACAGAUGCAGCAGCAUCAAGGACUGUGCCUUGUGAAGCAUAUGGAGUGGAGUCGCGACAACGCCGUGAUUCUCAUAUAACCUAUGAGAAUGAACACAACCACAACCACGUCCAGCCACCGACCUAUCAAUGCUCGCUGUGAAUUCAGUAAAGCCUAACUGAA
Triticum aestivum (bread wheat) is the source of this 1910-nucleotide long non-coding RNA. RefSeq lists it as uncharacterized. The transcript is spliced from 2 exons. Lineage: Eukaryota; Viridiplantae; Streptophyta; Magnoliopsida; Poales; Poaceae. The record is from RefSeq and is a predicted model, not a curated record.